RNAcentral lists this ribosomal RNA (301 nucleotides) under uncultured bacterium. RNAcentral's name for it is "partial 16S ribosomal RNA". It matches the Rfam family "Bacterial small subunit ribosomal RNA", at positions 509 to 807 of the family's 1533-position model. The record is from RNAcentral.
CAGCAGCCGCGGGAAUACGAAGGGGGCUAGCGUUGUUCGGAUUUACUGGGCGUAAAGCGCACGUAGGCGGACUUUUAAGUCAGGGGUGAAAUCCCAGAGCUCAACUCUGGAACUGCCUUUGAUACUGUCGAUCUGGAGUAUGGAAGAGGUGAGUGGAAUUCCGAGUGUAGAGGUGAAAUUCGUAGAUAUUCGGAGGAACACCAGUGGCGAAGGCGGCUCACUGGUCCAUUACUGACGCUGAGGUGCGAAAGCGUGGGGAGCAAACAGGAUUAGAUACCCCCGUAGUCCCUGUCUCUUAUAC